Molecule: transfer RNA, 71 nt
Filed under: Loxodonta africana (African savanna elephant)
Lineage: Eukaryota; Metazoa; Chordata; Mammalia; Proboscidea; Elephantidae
Rfam family: tRNA
About the family: Transfer RNA (tRNA) molecules are approximately 80 nucleotides in length. Their secondary structure includes four short double-helical elements and three loops (D, anti-codon, and T loops).
Source: Rfam by way of RNAcentral
GCAGUGGUGGUUCAGUGGUAGAAUUCUUGCCUUCCAUGUGGAACAUCUGGUUUUGAUUCCCAGCCAAUACA